CGGGACUGACAGUAGUUGACACAACAUUUUAGAAUACAAUCGACUUUGUGUUGGCUCUGAAUGUGAUAGUGGUUCAUUUUGUACAACGUUUUACAACUUUGUGUCUUACGGACUACUUUUCAAAACAUAUUAUCUUAUAUAAUACAGACGUUACUUCAAAAAAGAAUUUUAUGAUGGAGUCAGAAGGUCUCAAGUUGACAGCUAGGUUCAGAGAUUCUACAUAUACAGGUCAGGGUCAAGGUCCUGUAGUAAACCUAUUACCUGAGGACGACACUAACCCAACUGCUUCUGUUACAGCUUGCAGACUACGAAAUGGUCAGAUCGACUACAUAUCGACUGACCGAUCCGACCAGGUAGACAGCAGCCUGGGUACGGUACUUGGGACAAUUAAAAUCAAUGACGAGUCUUUCAGUGUCAUCGUGCAAAAUCAUGAAACAAUUAAAAGCCACACGUUCACUAUGAUGGGUUCUGAUUUAGUUGAGAUACUCAUGAAUCAAAUCAGUGACUUGUGGGGUGUACUACCACAACAACAGAGACUUAUAUUUGCAGGCAAACAGUUAAACGAAAAAAAGACAUUGUCAGAGUAUGGCAUUCAGGAAGGAUCAAAGAUUCUAAUGGUAUUACGUUGUCGAGGAGGCUAAACAAACGAAAUGUUUCUUUGAACUUUGAUGUUCUUCUGAUACAAAGGAACUUGACUAUUCUCUAGCAAUCGUAUUUUCAAUUUUUCAAUUUAAUUCUUAUUUCUAAUGAAUUCUAAGUUAUGAACUUAUGCCGAAUAAUUGAUUCUAGAAGUUUGAAAUGUAAUUCUGUUUCAUUAUUUGAGAACUAAAUUGGGCAAUUGUGUUCUGUUUAAGGUCUAGCUAGUUAAUAUGUAGUGUUUAUAUGUUUACAAAGUGGUCCAGCUAGUUAACAUGUAUGUAAUAAUGUUUUACAAGUAGUUUAACUGGUUGAUAGGUCAUUUAAUUUAUGUUUUGCAAGAGGUCUAACUGUGUGAUAUGAAUGUUAUUAUGUUCGCCGGAUGGAGGGCAAUCGCAUACCAAAAAUCAUUCUCUACGGGCAACUCGCGUCUGGCUCAAGAAAACUGGACGCCCUCCCCCACCUCCGUUACGUGAAUGUGAUAAAACGGAACAUCGAUACUGACCAUUGGGAAGACAUAGCUCUAGACCGCACUAGUUGGAGAGAGACGGUGACCAAGAAAGCUAUUAACAGCGAGAAAACUUGGGCCUCAGUUCUUGAAGAAAAGCGCGCCUUGCGAAAAAUGGCCAGCUUGACCUGCAACAUAAGUGGACGGGAGUGUUUCUCCAAAAUAGGGCUCCACAGCCAUAUGAAAAGUGUUCGAGAUGAACCAUAGUCGUUCUACGACUGAAGGAGGCCAAUGAUGUUUAAAAAGUGAUCUUGAUAAUUGAUAUGUCAAAAAGGUUAGCGAUUAGUUAUGAAGGAUUGCCUGAUCGUGCGGUAUGCGCGCUGGAAUGUCGCUUGGUUGUCUCGAAGGUCCCGGGUUCAUAUCUUACCCGCUGCCAUCCCCGUCGUCCAGCGGGAUGUUUGGACUAAGAAGUAGAUUAUUAUCGACUCUGAAGGAACGUCCGAAACAUGUCAAACUUGAUGUGAGAUUGGUAGGAUUGUGUCAGUGGUCUUAAGUAGGACGGACGACUCCAGAACGUGAGACUGCAAUGUAAUGAGUUAGAUUUCGUUUUAAAUACCAUUUUAUAGUAUUACUUAAGUCUAAUAUAUUUAUUAACUUUAACCACAAGCUCAUUUUGUCUAUACUUUAAUAAAAGAUAUUUUUAGUAUUGCUCACAAAGAAGUUAUUCCAGCAAUUUCAAGUUUUACAUGUUAAACUAUAAUGCGUCUAUAGCGGUUUAGUUGUCUACCAGCAGUUUGGUGCUACAAGUCAACCACCGUCAACAGCACAGAGUGAUAAUAGAGAGAAAAAAACAACAGUAGUGUGUCUGUGUGUCCAUGUAGUCUUUGCAAGAUAUGUGUUUCUGUAGGUGUGUCUACUGUGUGUCUGUAAUAUGUGUUGAUUCGUUUAAAUUAUUGCAUAGUCGAAUUCAAUCAAAUGUAGCAACUGAAUAAUUAAAAAGUAUAUCUAGA
This is a long non-coding RNA of Biomphalaria glabrata, 2094 nucleotides long. RefSeq lists it as uncharacterized. NCBI's taxonomy places the organism in Eukaryota, Metazoa, Mollusca, Gastropoda, Planorbidae. The transcript has 2 exons. The record is from RefSeq and is a predicted model, not a curated record.